RNAcentral lists this long non-coding RNA (489 nucleotides) under Anas platyrhynchos platyrhynchos (common mallard). RNAcentral's name for it is "lncRNA (ENSAPLG00000027332.1)". The record is from RNAcentral. Lineage: Eukaryota; Metazoa; Chordata; Aves; Anseriformes; Anatidae.
AUGGGGCCGAUUCCAGCUGGAAUUGGGUUUUGGGGGUUUUUCCAGCUGUUUUGGGUGCGUUUUUGGAUCUCCCAGCCCCUUUUUUGCCCCUUUUUUGCCCCAUUUUCUGCCCCCAACUUUCAGGUACCAGUUCCUGGAGGACGCGGUGAGGAACCAACGCAAGAUGCUGGCCACGCUGGUCAAACGCUUGGGCGACAAACACGCCAGCCUCCAGCGCUCCACCAAGGAAGUGCGCAGCUCCAUCCGGCAGGUGACGGACGUGCAGAAGCGGGUGCAGGUGGACGUCAAGAUGGCCAUCCUGCAGAUCAUGAAGGAGCUCAACAAACGCGGCAAGGUGCUGGUGAGCGACGCCCAGAAGGUGACGGAGGGGCAGCAGGAGAAGCUGGAGAGGCAGCACUGGGCCAUGACCAAGCUGCAGAGGCACCAGGAGCACGUCCUGCGCUUCACCUCCUGGGCCCUGGAGAGCGACAACAGCACGGCCCUGCUGCU